RNAcentral lists this ribosomal RNA (433 nucleotides) under uncultured bacterium. Its description in RNAcentral is "bacterial SSU rRNA". It matches the Rfam family "Bacterial small subunit ribosomal RNA", at positions 29 to 507 of the family's 1533-position model. The record is from RNAcentral.
AACGAACGCUGGCGGCAUGCCUAACACAUGCAAGUCGAACGAGACCUUCGGGUCUAGUGGCGCGCGGGUGCGUAACGCGUGGGAAUCUGCCCCUCGGUUCGGAAUAACACAGAGAAAUUUGUGCUAAUACCGGAUGAUGACUUCGGUCCAAAGAUUUAUCGCCGAGGGAUGAGCCCGCGUAGGAUUAGCUAGUUGGUGGGGUAAUGGCCCACCAAGGCGACGAUCCUUAGCUGGUCUGAGAGGAUGAUCAGCCACACUGGGACUGAGACACGGCCCAGACUCCUACGGGAGGCAGCAGUGGGGAAUAUUGGACAAUGGGCGAAAGCCUGAUCCAGCAAUGCCGCGUGAGUGAUGAAGGCCUUAGGGUUGUAAAGCUCUUUUACCAGGGAUGAUAAUGACAGUACCUGGAGAAUAAGCUCCGGCUAACUCCGUG